This 472-nucleotide ribosomal RNA is filed under the name uncultured bacterium. RNAcentral's name for it is "bacterial SSU rRNA". It matches the Rfam family "Bacterial small subunit ribosomal RNA", at positions 30 to 497 of the family's 1533-position model. The record is from RNAcentral.
AUUGAACGCUGGCGGCAUGCCUUACACAUGCAAGUCGAACGGCAGCGCGGGGCAACCUGGCGGCGAGUGGCGAACGGGUGAGUAAUAUAUCGGAACGUGCCCUGGAGUGGGGAUAACGUAGCGAAAGUUACGCUAAUACCGCAUACGAUCCAAGGAUGAAAGCAGGGGACCUUCGGGCCUUGUGCUCCUGGAGCGGCCGAUAUCUGAUUAGCUAGUUGGUGGGGUAAAAGCCUACCAAGGCGACGAUCAGUAGCUGGUCUGAGAGGACGACCAGCCACACUGGAACUGAGACACGGUCCAGACUCCUACGGGAGGCAGCAGUGGGGAAUUUUGGACAAUGGGGGGCAACCCUGAUCCAGCAAUGCCGCGUGUGUGAAGAAGGCCUCGGGUUGUAAAGCACUUUGUUCAGGAACGAAACGGUUAGAGGUUAAUACCUUGGCUAAUAGACGGUACCUGAAGAAUAAGACACCGG